Molecule: ribosomal RNA, 899 nt
Filed under: uncultured bacterium
Lineage: Bacteria
Description: bacterial SSU rRNA
Rfam family: Bacterial small subunit ribosomal RNA
Source: RNAcentral
AGAGUUUGAUCCUGGCUCAGAUUGAACGCUGGCGGCAUGCUUUACACAUGCAAGUCGAACGGUAACAGGUCUUCGGAUGCUGACGAGUGGCGAACGGGUGAGUAAUACAUCGGAACGUGCCUAGUAGUGGGGGAUAACUACUCGAAAGAGUAGCUAAUACCGCAUGAGAUCUACGGAUGAAAGCAGGGGACCUUCGGGCCUUGUGCUACUAGAGCGGCUGAUGGCAGAUUAGGUAGUUGGUGGGGUAAAGGCUUACCAAGCCUGCGAUCUGUAGCUGGUCUGAGAGGACGACCAGCCGCACUGGGACUGAGACACGGCCCAGACUCCUACGGGAGGCAGCAGUGGGGAAUUUUGGACAAUGGGCGAAAGCCUGAUCCAGCAAUGCCGCGUGCAGGAUGAAGGCCCUCGGGCUGUAAACUGCUUUUGUACGGAACGAAAAGCCUGGGGCUAAUAUCCCCGGGUCAUGACGGUACCGUAAGAAUAAGCACCGGCUAACUACGUGCCAGCAGCCGCGGUAAUACGUAGGGUGCAAGCGUUAAUCGGAAUUACUGGGCGUAAAGCGUGCGCAGGCGGUUUUGUAAGACAGUGGUGAAAUCCCCGGGCUCAACCUGGGAACUGCCAUUGUGACUGCAAGGCUAGGGUGCGGCAGAGGGGGAUGGAAUUCCGCGUGUAGCAGUGAAAUGCGUAGAUAUGCGGAGGAACACCGAUGGCGAAGGCAAUCCCCUGGGCCUGCACUGACGCUCAUGCACGAAAGCGUGGGGAGCAGACAGGAUUAGAUACCCUGGUAGUCCACGCCCUAAACGAUGUCAACUGGUUGUUGGGUCUUAACUGACUCAGUAACGAAGCUAACGCGUGAAGUUGACCGCCUGGGGAGUACGGCCGCAAGGUUGAAACUCAAA